GCCCUGGUGCUGAAACUGGCAGACAGGCACGUCUCAGAAGCGUGUGCCGCAAGGCGUGGAGGUUCAAGUCCUCUCCAGGGCA
Molecule: transfer RNA, 82 nt
Filed under: Candidatus Omnitrophota bacterium
Lineage: Bacteria; Pseudomonadati; Candidatus Omnitrophota
Description: Candidatus Omnitrophica bacterium tRNA-Leu
Rfam family: tRNA
About the family: Transfer RNA (tRNA) molecules are approximately 80 nucleotides in length. Their secondary structure includes four short double-helical elements and three loops (D, anti-codon, and T loops).
Source: RNAcentral